Molecule: long non-coding RNA, 1184 nt
Organism: Scatophagus argus
Lineage: Eukaryota; Metazoa; Chordata; Actinopteri; Scatophagidae
Exons: 3
Source: RefSeq, a predicted model, not a curated record
UCUUUUCCUGAGCAAUCAUAAAACGGCCGUGAAAAGGCACGAGGUGAGGCACGCAGUUCUCCUGCCUCAUGGUAGGGGGCACUCGUGAGCCCAGGGAUUCUUCUUGCGACUCCUCGACUGCAGAAUAAGUGACAGCAAGCUACAAUCUGGAGUUAGCAAGUCAAGUGCAGCCAUCCGUUUAUUUUUUCUUCUCGCCUGGCCUUACUUUCAAAAUAGAGGAUUACAUGUACAGAAGGAGCGGUGCAUGGACUUGGACAUGGAAAAGCACCAUAGGUUAACGGGUGGAGUGGAGGAGUGUUACCCGAUCUCGCUCACUGGUUCUUCAGUAUUGCUGUGGACACUCUUGCACUGAGAAAAGCAAAAAAAACAACACUGGUUCAAGACCUUACAUGGCAGUUCUCCUCUCCGGGGUGUUCCAAGAAGACAGGAGGAGCAGCGGGAAGAGAGGAGCGCAGGGAUGAAGGGAGGGGGGAGACGAUGGCAGGUACUAGGGGAUUGUUCCAAUGCCCUUGACAUGACGGAAACGCCGGAAGAAGAGAGAACAAGAGCCAAUCUGUGGUGAUGGUGGUGGGGGGGGGGUUAGAAAAAAGAAAGCCUGAAGACGAGUGUGUGUAUGUGUGUGUGUGUGUUUACAUGAAAGAGAUUUUUUUUCUUUAGAUUUAUGCAUGAAUGUUUUGCAUUUGUAUGUUUGUAGCCUAGACAGACAAAAAGACCUGUAUUUUAAAGGUUCUGGCAGUGAGUCUUGUAUGCAUUUUUGCCUGAGAGCAAUUCAGUGCAUAUAUAUGUGUGUGUGUGUGUAUGUGUGUGUCCAAACCCAGUAUGAGUCCCAGUCCAGGGCUUUUCUUCUGGCUAGCAGAUGUUUUGCUCUCACCUUGCCAUACCUCAUAAAGCUUGAUGGCUCAGGACCCUGGGGCCAGUCUGGCACACACAUGCAUGCAAACACAUGCACAUGCACGCCCGUACACACACACACGCACACACACACGCGCACACACACACACACACACACACACACGUGUGCCCCACUGCCACAACAAAAACACAUGGAAAUGCCUACACACACAGACAAAUGCAGACAUGUAGAUCUCACAGUCUUCUGGCCUGUCUUUGCACAUUGAAGAACAGAUGGAGAAAGUGUUGAGGGUGUCUCAGUGUGAAAGUUUGAAUGCCACAGGAAAGGCAUG